AUUGAACGCUGGCGGAAUGCUUUACACAUGCAAGUCGAACGGCAGCACGGGGCAACCUGGUGGCGAGUGGCGAACGGGUGAGUAAUACAUCGGAACGUGCCCAAUCGUGGGGGAUAACGUAGCGAAAGUUACGCUAAUACCGCAUACGAUCUACGGAUGAAAGCGGGGGAUCGCAAGACCUCGCGCGAAUGGAGCGGCCGAUGUCAGAUUAGGUAGUUGGUGGGGUAAAGGCUCACCAAGCCGACGAUCUGUAGCUGGUCUGAGAGGACGACCAGCCACACUGGGACUGAGACACGGCCCAGACUCCUACGGGAGGCAGCAGUGGGGAAUUUUGGACAAUGGGCGCAAGCCUGAUCCAGCCAUUCCGCGUGCAGGA
Molecule: ribosomal RNA, 376 nt
Filed under: uncultured bacterium
Lineage: Bacteria
Description: bacterial SSU rRNA
Rfam family: Bacterial small subunit ribosomal RNA
Source: RNAcentral